UUGAGGAGACCCCCAGGGGCUUGGGGUUCCCACACGACUGCCUCGCCCUUUUAUUUCACCUUCCUUUCUGCUGACCGCUGCCGCCUGUCUGCCGCGGCGCAACCCUCAGAGCUAAAAUGAGUCUGUUUGGAACAACCUCCGGUUUUGGAACUGGUGGCACCAGCAUGUUCGGCAGCACUACCACAGAUAAUCACAACCCUAUAAGGAUAUCAAGGUCACGUCUUCCCCUGAUGACAGCAUUGGGUGCCUGUCAUUCAGCCCACCAACCUUGCCCGGGAACUUUCUUAUCGCAGGAUCCUGGGCUAAUGAUGUUCGCUGCUGGGAGGUUCAGGACAAUGGGCAGACCAUUCCGAAAGCGCAGCAGAUGCACACCGGGCCCGUCCUCGAUGUCUGCUGGAGUGAUGAUGGAAGCAAAGUAUUUACAGCAUCGUGUGACAAAACUGCCAAAAUGUGGGACCUCAACAGUAACCAAGCCAUACAGAUUGCACAGCAUGAUGCUCCUGUUAAAACUAUACAUUAGAUCAAAGCUCCAAGCUACAGCUGCGUGAUGACCGACAGCUGGGAUAAGACUUUGAAGUUUUGGGAUACUCGGUCAUCAAAUCCCAUGAUGGUCUUACAGCUCCCUGAAAGGUGUUACUGUGCUGACGUGAUAUAUCCAAUGGCUGUAGUGGCAACUGCAGAGAGGGGCCUGAUUGUCUACCAGCUGGAAAACCAGCCUUCUGAGUUCCGGAGGAUAGAGUCUCCACUGAAGCACCAGUAUCGAUGUGUGGCCAUUUUUAAAGACAAACAGAACAAGCCAACAGGUUUUGCCCUGGGGAGUAUUGAGGGAAGAGUUGCUAUUCACUACAUCAACCCCCCAAAUCCUGCCAAAGAUAACUUCACCUUUAAAUGCCAUCGGUCCAAUGGAACCAACACUUCGGCUCCUCAGGACAUCUAUGCGGUGAACAGAAUCUCAUUCCACCCUGUUCAUGGCACCCUUGCGACCGUGGGAUCAGAUGGUAGGUUCAGCUUCUGGGACAAAGAUGCCCGGACAAAACUCAAAACUUCGGAACAGCUAGACCAGCCGAUAUCAGCAUGCUGCUUCAGUCACAAUGGCAACAUAUUUGCCUACGCGUCAAGUUAUGACUGGUCCAAGGGACAUGAAUUUUAUAAUCCUCAGAAGAAAAAUUACAUUUUCUUGCGUAAUGCAGCUGAAGAGCUAAAGCCCAGGAAUAAGAAGUAGUGGCCUGAGACCUGGGGGGUAUCUGGAAUUGCGACUCCACGAUUCCUCAUCUCUACAGAUUUGGCCCAAGCCA
Octodon degus (degu) is the source of this 1295-nucleotide RNA transcript. It is a transcript of the gene named mRNA export factor pseudogene, with no coding region annotated. The transcript has a single exon. The record is from RefSeq and is a predicted model, not a curated record. Lineage: Eukaryota; Metazoa; Chordata; Mammalia; Rodentia; Octodontidae.